GUCUGUGUAAACAUGUAAGAGUUUAUGGUAUGUGUAAACAUGUAAGAGUUUAUGGUCUGUGUAAACAUGUAAGAGUUAAUGAUGUGUGUAAACAUGUAAGAGUUAAUGGUAUGUGUAAACAUAUAAGAGUUAAUGGUAUGUGUAAAUGUUGUAAGAGUUAAUGGUAUGUGUAAAUGUUGUAAGAGUUAAUGGUAUUUGUAAACCUUGUAAGAUUUAUGGUCUGUUUAUGGAUAUAAAGUGUGUCAUUGCAAUAUGUGUGAAUGUUGUAAGAGUUAAUGGUAUGUGUAAACUUUGUAAGAUUUAUGGUCUGUUUAUGGAUAUAAAGUGUGUCAUUGCAAUAUGUGUGAAUGUUGUAAGAGUUAAUGGUAUGUGUAAACUUUGUAAGAUUUAUGGUCUGUUUAUGGAUAUAAAGUGUGUCAUUGCAAUAUGUGUGAAUGCAAAAAUGUUUGAAGGAAAAGUACAUUAUCAUUUAAAAACGUGUCCACAUAAAAUGUAUUAACAUGAAAUAUGUCUAACAAAAUGUGUCGGCACAUUAUAUGUUAGACAUGACACGCGUUGACACAGUGGGCGCAAACGGUAAUUGUGUCUGUAUUCCUUAAUGAUUUCUGCUGUCAUGCUGUUUACCGAUAUCAUCUGUUGCCUGUCCACACAGAAUUGACCAAAAUUAUUUUAAAAGAAAGAUUAUAUAAUUAUAUAUAUAUACAAUGUACAUACAUUUCUAGAUAUGUACAUUCAGUAUAACUUUAUUUAUGGAAAUACUUUUUUUAUUCAGACCAAAAAGUUUUGUUCGAUGGAGUUGUGUCUUUAUGUCUGUCUGUCUGUCUGUCUGUCUGUCUGUCUGUCUGUCUGUCUGUCUGUCUGUCUGUCUGUCUGUCUGUCUUCCAGUCUUUUUGUCUGUCUGUAGCUAUGGCAGGAGUUACGAGUCGUGAGUCUGUGUGGCGAGGGUGUGAACGGGAGGAGAUCAGCCGUGUUGCGUCUGCCGAUUCUGACGUGAGUUCUGUCGAAGGUUCGCCAGAUUGUGUUUCUCAUCAAUGCCAGGGGAUGCUGUUGGGUCCAUAUUUUAGGCAAUUUUUAUAGUCCAAGAUUUUGGUCCAUGUUUUGGUCCAAAUUUCAAUCCAUGUUUUUGGUCCAUUUUAUGGCGUAGUUAUGGUCCGUUUCUCGGUUCGAACUUUGGCUCCGUUUUUUUGAGUCCACUUGAUAGCUCCUCACGGGCUCCUCUCUCCUCAGGGCACACAGGUGAGACAGAAGACGCUGAGAGCGGUGGCCUCCUUGUGAGAAUAUUUGCCAUACAGUGAAAACAUUGGCUCAGAUCUUUGAGAGCUUGUUGUGUGAAGUUAGAGAUUCCUGUACGGUACGCUGAUGUGGUGUGGAGUUGGGGAUACCACAUGUCUCUUGUGAUAUAACUGGACUUUUAUUUAUCAGAUUUAAUGUAAAAAAGAAGGGCUCUGUGUGUCUGAUGUAAUGUAAGAAUAAGGGUAAUGUAAAAGUAAUGUGUAAUGUAAGAUAUAAAUAAUAAGGGUCUCAGGUAAUGGGAAGAAAAGGUGUAAGGUAAUGUGAAGAAAAGGGUGUAAGGAAAGGGUGUAAGGAAAGGGUGUAAGGUAAUGUGAAGAAAAGGGUGUAAGGAAAGGGUGUAAGGUAAUGUGAAGAAAAGGGUGUAAGGUAAUGUGAAGAAAAGGGUGAUGUGAAAAUAAGGGUGUACGGUAAUGUAAAGAUAAAGGUGUACGGUAAAGUGAAGAUGUAAGGGUUCUUGUUUGUCCAUUGUAAUGUAAAGACAAAGGUGAUAGGUAAUGUGAAGAUUAGGGUGUAAGGUAAUGUGAAGAUUAGGUUGUAAGGUAAUGUGAAGAUUAGGGUGUAAGGUAAUGUGAAGAUGUAGAUUUAUAGGUUCUUGUUUGUCCAUUGUAAUGUAAAGACAAAGGUGAUGUAGGAAAUGUGAAGAUGUAACGGUUCUUGUAUGCCCGAUGUAAUGUGAAGACAAAAGUGAUAGGUAAUGUGAAGAUAAGAUAAGAUAAGAUAGUACUUUAUUAUCCCAGAGGGAAAUUUUCCUAGGCUGUACAGGACCGUAAAUACACAUGCAGGUAUAC
Aplysia californica (California sea hare) is the source of this 2081-nucleotide long non-coding RNA. RefSeq lists it as uncharacterized. The transcript is spliced from 2 exons. The record is from RefSeq and is a predicted model, not a curated record. Lineage: Eukaryota; Metazoa; Mollusca; Gastropoda; Aplysiida; Aplysiidae.